Molecule: ribosomal RNA, 425 nt
Filed under: uncultured prokaryote
Description: bacterial SSU rRNA
Rfam family: Bacterial small subunit ribosomal RNA
Source: RNAcentral
UGGGGAAUCAUGGUCAAUGGGCGAAAGCCUGAACCUGCGACGCCGCGUGAGUGAUGAAGGUCGUAAGAUCGUAAAACUCUUUUCAGGGAUCUUAAAGCCUGUCUGUCAACAACAGGCAGGUCUGACUCUCCCUGGAAGAAGCCCCAGCCAACUACGUGCCAGCAGCUGCGGUAAUACGUAGGGGGCGAGCGUUAUUCGGAAUUACUGGGUGUAAAGGGUAUGUAGGCGGCCCUUCAAGUCGCGUGUAAAAGGCCAGGGCUCAACGCUGGGUGUGCACGGGAUACUGGCGGGCUUGAGGGCUGGAGAGGUGAGCGGAAUUCCCGGUGUAGUGGUAAAAUACGUAGAGAUCGGGAGGAACACCAGCGGCGCAGGCGGCUCACUAGACAGUUUCUGACGCUAAGAUACGAAAGCGUGGGGAGCAAACA